Molecule: long non-coding RNA, 394 nt
Filed under: Rattus norvegicus (Norway rat)
Lineage: Eukaryota; Metazoa; Chordata; Mammalia; Rodentia; Muridae
Description: long non-coding RNA NONRATT029126
Source: RNAcentral
GUUAUAAAUUCCAAUGUAAGUAUUUUGGGAGGUAGAUGUUUGCCACAUUUCAAAACGGGCUGAGUGUUGUCCUGCAGUGUGUGGCGUGUUCUUCAUUGCUGUCUGAACUUGAUUCUCUCUCCUUUUUGUGUACUUUAGUUGAGAUGGAUAGUCUGUCUGAGCUAUCCCAGCAAGGCGCCAACCAUGUCAAUUUUGGCCAGCAGCCUGUCCCAGGAAACACAGCUGAGCAGCCUCCGUCCCCUGCACAGCUCUCCCACGGCAGCCAGCCCUCUGUCCGGACCCCUCUUCCGAACCUGCACCCUGGGCUUGUGUCAACACCUAUCAGUCCUCAGCUGGUCAACCAGCAGCUGGUGAUGGCCCAGUUGCUGAACCAGCAGUAUGCAGUGAACAGACU